This 72-nucleotide transfer RNA is filed under the name Ganoderma lucidum Xiangnong No.1. RNAcentral's name for it is "tRNA-Und (NNN) (tRNA-Und-NNN-6-1)". Lineage: Eukaryota; Fungi; Basidiomycota; Agaricomycetes; Polyporales; Polyporaceae. The record is from RNAcentral.
GGCCGCCUGGAUGGCAACGCGUCUGACUACGAUUAAAUCAGGAGAUUGCAGGUUCGACCCCUGCGGUGGUCA